UACGGAGGGUGCAAGCGUUAUCCGGAUUUACUGGGUUUAAAGGGUGUGUAGGCGGACUAUUAAGUCAGGGGUGAAAUCCCAAGGCUCAACCUUGGAACUGCCUUUGAUACUGGGGAUCUCGAGUCCGGAAGAGGUUGGUGGAACUGCGAGUGUAGAGGUGAAAUUCGUAGAUAUUCGCAAGAACACCAGUGGCGAAGGCGGCCAACUGGUCCGGUACUGACGCUGAGGUGCGAAAGCGUGGGGAGCAAACAGG
This 253-nucleotide ribosomal RNA is filed under the name uncultured bacterium. RNAcentral describes it as "partial 16S ribosomal RNA". It matches the Rfam family "Bacterial small subunit ribosomal RNA", at positions 524 to 776 of the family's 1533-position model. The record is from RNAcentral.